GAGAGGGAGACAUAGAAUCCGAAGCAGGCUCCAGGCACUGAGCUGUCAGCACAGAGUUCAAUGCAGAGCUCAAACCUGCAGACCGCAGGAUCGUGACUUGAGCCGAAGUUGGACACUUAACUGACUGAGCCACCCAGGUGCCCCUGUACAGAAAAGAUUUAAUGAAAUGAUUCCUGAUGAGAUUGUGUUGCUUCUCCCCAGGGUGUCUGCAUUUGUAAAAGAACCAAACAUGAGAUCAGAGAGCAAAACUACUGUAUACGAGGAAUUGCAAGGCUGGUGGAAGAGGCAUUUUAGCCAUACUACACCCCUCCCCGAGACCUAGAUUAUCCCAGAAGUGUGGCUGAUGCCUGUUCUACCUUCUCAGAAACGUGGGACAUGGAAAAGAGCAGAGACUAGUGUGGAGGUUUAUCACGGGUUUAGCAUCCGAGUGACUUGGGCGGGUGUUCACCUUUCUAGGUGUCAGUUUGAGUCUCUGCAGAAUGAAGGCUAGGAGGAGGCCCCAGUCCACACCAUUUCUUCCACCGUCUCCUCUCUUCCUCCUCCUCCUCCACCCUCCUCUCCCUCCUCCCUCACUGUUGGGGCCACUGUAUAGAUAAGAGUUUCCUCCUGGCCAGCUGUGUAAGCCAGAGUGGAAAAUUGUGGCCUACUCCCAAGUCACCCCAGAAUUUCUAUGCAGGUUGAAUUAGGAAGCAACAGUCUGGUGGAAGGGGUGGAGUUGGAAUGCGUUGUGCUUUACGUAGGACGGUGUCCUCCCUGCCUGUACCCAAGCUGUGCGUUGGCUCCAAUACUUACCAGCUGAUCCCCAGGAUACCUUAUAGUCUGGAGUUUCAGGAUUCAAAAUGUCAGCCUCAACCCUGGGGUCUUCAGCCUCAACAGCUGCUUCAGGUUGCCUUCUCUCUCCAGCCCUUCUGUGCUCUCUGCCUUCCCUCCUCUCCUGCUCUGCUUUCCCAGGUCAAGCAGGCUACAGAAAUGCAGUCCCCUUCGGGCCCCGGCUGUUUGCCUGCCGGCCGUCUCUGUGUCACAGAGUUGGGAGCGGGAAGCCCUUCACAUCCCAGCAGCCCUGACAGAGGCGUGAGGAUGGGCAGGGCUGCUGCUGGGAAGGGAAUAACUGAACCGGUUGUGGGGGAGCAACGUGCCUGAGAGAUAGCAGGCAGGGCAUGGGUGAAAAUGCUAAUAAAAAUUUAAAAUAGAACCUGCAGAACAGGUACUGCUCUUCUUGAGUCUGUUGGAGCCUACUGUCAAGAUCAGAAUGAUCCCCAUGGAUGUCAUGAGAGUGAGGAAGGCCACAGAGGGGACUGACCGAUGCUGGCAACCGUGUGUGUUAUUAUAACCUUUUUGCAAUGUUAUUCUUCAUCUGGACACCUGGUUCCAUCUCAGAUGCUAUCCAGAUGAUUCAUAAUCUAAUGUCGGCUUCAACGCACAUUUAAAGUGGGAGAAAAAGCAACUGAAUCAAAAGCCCAAGGUCUUCCAAGAAGUCCCAGAAAGUGGUCUUUACUCCUUCCCAUCACUCCCCAACAUGACCUAAAUCCAGGAGAAACUGAGAUGCCCCAGAAGCUCACCUCUGCAAGUGCCAUCAUGAAUAAUGCCAACACCAAGAAUCUGAGCAAGCAGUGUCCUAGGAGUACUGGACUUGUUUGCAAGCAUCCUUAUUGCUGAAGGGAGAGGGUUUAUUUGAUUUACUCUCAGGAGUUAUUUUCCUAGUAUUAAGUCACUCUAGGGAGACUUUUUGUGAUUACCUAUGAGUAAAUAAAAAAGUGAAAUUGCAAUGAAAAUAAAUCAUUAGUCAACUUUAA
Molecule: long non-coding RNA, 1793 nt
Organism: Neofelis nebulosa (Clouded leopard)
Lineage: Eukaryota; Metazoa; Chordata; Mammalia; Carnivora; Felidae
Exons: 2
Source: RefSeq, a predicted model, not a curated record